Molecule: long non-coding RNA, 4602 nt
Organism: Phyllostomus hastatus (greater spear-nosed bat)
Lineage: Eukaryota; Metazoa; Chordata; Mammalia; Chiroptera; Phyllostomidae
Exons: 3
Source: RefSeq, a predicted model, not a curated record
CCCCGCAGAGCGAGCACGGCGCCCACCGCGGAAAACCGCAGCUCCUUCCUGCUGCACGGGGAGGGGAAGGGGCCGGCUCCGGGCCACCUGCAAGUCCGACGGGCUCCAGCGCCGGCCUGCCCUGCAGCCCGGCUCAAGUCCACAGGGACUCGGAGCGCCCCGGGCGCCCUCAGCGCCACCAGAGUUGUGGGCCCAACUCUGGUGCCAACGGGUCUCCGUGCUUCGGGAGAGACGGGAGCAGAACCAGCACCAGCGCCGCGGGAGCCCGCUCAUUCGGACCAGAGGGGGCCCUGGAGGGGUGCUCACCGGGUGGGGAGGAGGGCGAGGAGAGGCUGUGAGAUUCAAGAGGACACCAAAAAACUCAGCUCUCGUAGAGAGAGAGAAACAUUGAUCCGUUGUCUCCCAUACACGCCCCGGCCGGGGAUUGAACUGGCAACCUUUCUCUGGUGCAUGGAACAGCGCUCCAACCUCCGGAGCCACCGGCCAGGCAAGUGGGGCCUGCCUACGUCAGUGAAAAGGGUGCCAGACCCUGGAUGGAAACAAGCUGGCUUUUUCUCGCCGGCUUUUACAGAAUAUGAAAACUCUUGGGAAAUCAGACAAGAUCAAUCGGUGAGACUGAAAAUAAAAAGCCCGUUGGUGCAGGCUCGCGGCCCGGCUGGCCUCCGCGGGGACUCGGCUGCAGCGGGGCUCCCUGGGCCGGCAGCUGCCCCAUGUCCUUUCCCUCCGGCCGCCCACGACCUGCGCCUGUCAGACUGUCACACACGGGGAGUUCAGGCUCCUCGGCAUCGACAACUGUUCCCACAGAAACCAGCGAGACGUCAGAGUGUGAAGAAGACGCAGUAAGACAAACCACAAGAAAACCAAGGUGACAAAUUAACCUGACUGCCAAAAGCAGAAGGAAGGGGCCCAGCUCAGAGGCUUUCAAACUGCGCUGCCCGGAGCCCAGAGAGCCCCGCGCAAGCCCUUGGAGGGUCUCCGGACCAAAGCUGAGGCCCAACUCCCAGCCCAGCCUCCUCUCAUGCCGUCCGUGAAGACCACGUAGUAAGACUUUGCCGGAAAAAACGCUUUAUGGUCAAAGGAACCUGAAACCAUUGGUCUAAGAGACUAAGGACCCAGGCACCUCCAGCUGCUCGGAGGACUCUCUCGAGGUCUGGGCAGGCAAGGGUCUUCCACACCUGAGAGCUCGCAGCAGGUUCAAAAAAACCCAAAACAGUUGUGAUCUUUAGAGUCGAGAAAAGUUGUAAACAUUUAAACAACUGCAUUCUUGGGUCUGGAAGGAGAGUGGAAUGAAAUCCCCAAGUGAUCUCUUAAUGCCACCAAAAUCGCACUUGCACGCCUCUGCCAGAAAAGAUGAACCUCCACUUGCACAGCGGUCAUGCACUUAAAAGUGACUGGGUGCAGAGAGCUUUGGAAAAUGUAUUAUGGCAGGGAAAAGGGAAUGCAAAGGGGUUCCAGAUAUUUAGUAUACUGAUAAGACAGCUUAAGAGUGACAAAUGAUUCUCUCUGAGAAUUUGAAGGGUCGUGGUAAGGCCAUCAGGAGGACCUAGGCCAGCUGGCCCCAGCCCCUCAGCCCUCGGACAUGAGAAGCCACCCCAGCGCUGACUCGGAAUCACCGGGAGUGAGUGAAGACGCAGGGAGCCCAGGGACCAGCGCCGUCACCUGGGACCUCGUCAGAAACGAGGCGCCCCAGCCCUGCCCAGCCCGAACCUGGUUUGAACGAGUGCCCUUGUGACCCCAGGAAGGCCGAGCAGUGCAGUGGCCCCUGAGGGAGUGUGGCCUCCUGCCCCCCGAGGUCCGGCACAGACACUCAACGUGCCAGGAGGGCUGGUUCCGAGACCUGCCUUCCCUGGGACGCACAGUGCCAAACGGCUAGGCUCUCUAGGGACAAACAGGCGGGGUUUCUGAAGGCAGUCGUGAGGUCACAGCGCCUUACACCCAAGGAAUAGGCUGCCCGGGUAGGAGACGUGGAGACGGAGCCUCAGCCGCUCCCCCGUGCGAGCAGCCAGGCUGUCAGGAGCGGGAGAGAGGAAGCCUGCUCCAGUGAGGGAGUGCCAGGGAGGCGGCCUGCCUCUGGCCCAGGAGUCACGCGCCUGGGGCAAGGGGGCACUGGCACCCCUGGAGCCCCGCUGAGCCCAGAGACAGCCUGGAGAACAGCAGGGCGGAGGAGACCAGCAGCCCCUCUCCCUCUGGGCAUGGCGUGUGCGUCCUGGCCCCCGGGAAGCCAGGCAGCACGCAAAUGCACAUUUGAUGACCUUUCUCUGCAGGCAGCCUGCUCUCUGAGGAGCCGAGUGCGCACACAGCCCGGCCCAGAGCGGACAGAGGGAAAAGAAGGCACCGGCAGGCCUGCAGACAAGCUAGGACGGGCCCUGGAGAGAGUGGGCUGGGGCGAAGAGAUGCACAGCAGCCACUCCGGUGGCCACACAUCUCCCAGCUUCCCGGUUCCCGUGGGCCGGGCUCCUGGGAAAGCAGCUCGGGGCCCAGGUGAACGCCUGGCAGAACGGUCAGAAGGCGCUGGGCACGGAGAAGUCUCCCUCUGAGCACAGCCGCCCUCCCCUCCUGACCGACCCAGACACGCGGGAGGGAGGGCGCGAUCCCUGCCGCUCCGCUGCCCGGAGGAAACUGAGCCGCCCGCACGUAAGGGUGGGAGCCACGCAACGCGCUGACCACGCCCGGCUCUGACGGGAUCAGUCGUGGGGCACGCGCCGUCCCAGGAGAGACGAGGCCUGCGCUGCUCCCCGACACCGCCCUCCUGGCCGCACCCCUCACGCACGAGGCUGCGGCUUUCACGACCCCAGCCCGCCUGCUCGCGUGCCCUUCUCUCCCAAGCGGCAGUGCCCACGCAAAGGGCACGUCCCCACAGCACCGCGCUGCUCUGCCGGUGCCACCGACGGCACUGGAAGGGGGCCGCAAGGGCGCCUGAGAGGGACUGACUCACCCCACGUACCCCACCCGCCUUCCCUACCCAAUGCCCCUCUCGCCAGUCCGUCCGUCUGUCCCGGACACGGGGAUGCUGCUGCUGUGGACAAAGUGCCAGAGGAACCACGGGGAGCCAGCCCCUCUGCAGCCCGCACCACCCUCACUGCAGCCGUGUUCCCACAGAGGCCCCCCGGUGUCCUACCAGAACCAGAGCUGCCUGGGGGUCCUGAGAAGACAGCCAGGACUCGGAGGUAGCCCAUUCACGCCGCUGGUGGGUGCCCGUCACAGGAAGACACCCAGCAUCUGUGGGCUGCGUCCGGUACCCCCACUGCCUUCAGGUGGGGGGAGUGGAGAUUCCUUCUGGCCUUCUAAGAAAAAAGAAGACAAACAACCUAGCACCAGAAUGUGAAACAUGCAGAGACACACACACACACACCACACAUACUUUUGGGGGGAAACCCAAUGUAACUGUGAGAUCAGGCCCAUGGUGGCCCCACUACCCAGACGUCCGCAGGGGGUCCCACACUGGUGACUUCCGCCGAAACGGGUGGCCAGAAGGGACACUGAAAUCCAGCUGGGCCCCAGGACGUGGCCAGAGCCCCGGGCAUGGCGAGCAUCCCGGUGAGGAGCUCGCAGCUCAGCAGGGCUUACCCACGGGGAAGGGAGGUACUUCCAGCCUGGGCAGGACCCCUGAGGGGCUCCGAGACCAGGGGCUGCCCAGGGCAGUGGGCCCUCCCUUCCCCUGCUGUUCCCCAGAGGCCGCCCCCCAUCCGUACCCAGGUGGACCUCGCCCCCAUCAGGACAAGGAGGCAGGCCCCUUGGAAGGCCCUGCGUUCUCCCGAGAGAAGGACCAGAAAGAUGGGAUCGUGAGCACCAGAGGCUGUGAGGACAGUUUGAAAAUGACUUACUUUAUCUUUCCUCCAAGUGGUGCCGGCGGGAAAACAGGUGACUGACUUGACUCAUCUCACAAAAAUUCUUCCAUUUUUCUUUGGAUUUGAUUUUUUUUUUUUUUUGCAUUGUGAUCAACUUCAGCACCUGCACAGAUUCCAUCCAUCAAGCUCUCACACAUGGAAACGAACCGGGGUCCCUAGGAAACAAUGACGAGGUUGGGACAGAGGGCAGAGGGCUGGAGGACCAGAAGGCCAAAGGCAGGCACGCCUGGCUUUGGAACACACAUGACCCUCCGUCAGAGCUUUCUCUGGGUGCAGCGCUGGGCGAGGGGCUUUACCUGCGCCCUGUAAUUCUCAGUAGCAACCCAGCAAAGUCAACAGUGCUGUCCCCAACUUACAGACAAGGAAACAGGCACAGAGACUAGGUGACUCUUGAAAAGUCACACAUGCUGUCUCCAAAAAUAUAAGAAGCUCAACUGAUGUUGCUCUUCAUGGGCCUUAUCAGUCACAGACAGAAGCAGACCCGAUGUCCUUGCGUUUUUAAAGUGGGGGAAGGCUCAGACGUCCGUGUACACGGAGACGCCAGAAAAGGAGAGCCCCUUUUCCGUCACUUCUCUCCCGGGGAGGGACACGUGGCAUUCGUGCAGCCUAGCCCCACAGGCUCUCCCCCAGGUUCCCAAGCAACCAGCGAGGGAAACCAGAUGCUGGUUCAAGAGGAGCCACUGGAGCUUCCUUAGGAGUGCUAAGCACGUGGGCAAAAACAGGAUCCGAAAACAGCAUGGCCGCUUUUACAAAU